AAUUAUGGUAGGGGUUAUGGGAGUAUCGUAAGAUACGCUGUUACCUAGCGGACAGUACGCCAAUCCUGUAACCCCUACCAUCCUA
This 85-nucleotide non-coding RNA is filed under the name Lwoffella lincolnii. Lineage: Bacteria; Pseudomonadati; Pseudomonadota; Gammaproteobacteria; Moraxellales; Moraxellaceae. The record is from RNAcentral.